This 645-nucleotide ribosomal RNA is filed under the name uncultured bacterium. RNAcentral's name for it is "bacterial SSU rRNA". It matches the Rfam family "Bacterial small subunit ribosomal RNA", at positions 110 to 753 of the family's 1533-position model. The record is from RNAcentral.
GUAACACGUACGCAACUUACCCAUUACAGGGGAAUAGCCCAGGGAAACUUGGAUUAAUACCCCAUAUUAUAUGAGAUUGGCAUCAGUCUCAUAUCAAAGCUUCGGCGGUAAUGGAUGGGCGUGCGGUUGAUUAGAUAGUUGGCGGGGUAACGGCCCACCAAGUCUACGAUCAAUAGCUGAUGUGAGAGCAUGAUCAGCCACACGGGCACUGAGACACGGGCCCGACUCCUACGGGAGGCAGCAGUAAGGAAUAUUGGGCAAUGGACGAAAGUCCGACCCAGCCAUGCCGCGUGAAGGAUGAAGGUCCUCUGGAUUGUAAACUUCUUUUAUCUGGGGCGAAAACCAUCCUUUCUAGGAUGCUUGACAGUACCAGAGGAAUAAGCACCGGCUAACUCCGUGCCAGCAGCCGCGGUAAUACGGAGGGUGCAAGCGUUAUCCGGAUUUACUGGGUUUAAAGGGUGCGUAGGCGGGCAGGUAAGUCAGUGGUGAAAUCCCCGAGCUUAACUCGGGAACUGCCGUUGAUACUAUCUGUCUUGAAUAUCGUGGAGGUAAGCGGAAUAUGUCAUGUAGCGGUGAAAUGCUUAGAUAUGACAUAGAACACCAAUUGCGAAGGCAGCUUGCUACACUAUUAUUGACGCUGAGGCA